RNAcentral lists this ribosomal RNA (325 nucleotides) under uncultured eukaryote. RNAcentral describes it as "partial 18S ribosomal RNA". It matches the Rfam family "Eukaryotic small subunit ribosomal RNA", at positions 1470 to 1796 of the family's 1831-position model. The record is from RNAcentral.
CCCUUAGAUGUUCUGGGCCGCACGCGCGCUACACUGAUGCAUUCAACGAGCCUAUCCUUGACCGACAGGUCCGGGUAUUCUUUGAAUCUGCAUCGUGACGGGGAUAGAUUAUUGCAAUUAUUAAUCUUCAACGAGGAAUGCCUAGUAGGCGCAAGUCAUCAGCUUGCGUCGAUUACGUCCCUGCCCUUUGUACACACCGCCCGUCGCUCCUACCGAUUGGGUGUGCUGGUGAAAUGUUCGGAUCGGCCGUUUGUCGCGGUUUCCGCGUCAUGUGGCUGAGAAGUUCAUUAAACCCUCCCACCUAGAGGAAGGAGAAGUCGUAACA